Molecule: ribosomal RNA, 467 nt
Filed under: uncultured bacterium
Lineage: Bacteria
Description: bacterial SSU rRNA
Rfam family: Bacterial small subunit ribosomal RNA
Source: RNAcentral
CAGGCCUAACACAUGCAAGUCGAGCGGAGCGAGGGUGCUUGCACCUUAGCUUAGCGGCGGACGGGUGAGUAAUGCUUAGGAAUCUGCCUAUUAGUGGGGGACAACGUUUCGAAAGGAACGCUAAUACCGCAUACGUCCUACGGGAGAAAGCAGGGGAUCUUCGGACCUUGCGCUAAUAGAUGAGCCUAAGUCGGAUUAGCUAGUUGGUGGGGUAAAGGCCUACCAAGGCGACGAUCUGUAGCGGGUCUGAGAGGAUGAUCCGCCACACUGGGACUGAGACACGGCCCAGACUCCUACGGGAGGCAGCAGUGGGGAAUAUUGGACAAUGGGGGGAACCCUGAUCCAGCCAUGCCGCGUGUGUGAAGAAGGCCUUUUGGUUGUAAAGCACUUUAAGCGAGGAGGAGGCUUACCUAGUUAAUACCUGGGAUAAGUGGACGUUACUCGCAGAAUAAGCACCGGCAACUCUG